Molecule: long non-coding RNA, 1841 nt
Filed under: Oryctolagus cuniculus (rabbit)
Lineage: Eukaryota; Metazoa; Chordata; Mammalia; Lagomorpha; Leporidae
Description: lncRNA (ENSOCUG00000035478.1)
Source: RNAcentral
CUGAUUUAUUGCAAUGGAUGAUACAGAGAAGCAGAUGUUUUUCUAAACAGUGUUUUUAUGGCAGCUUCAUUCCCUAGGCAUGAUCGAUUAAAUCAUGGGCCAUCGAUGAUGAGCUUCACCUCCAUCUCCCCUUGCCUCCCUGGAGGCGGCACAGAAUAGCUGAAAGCCCGGGGCUUCUCAUCCCACCUGGUCUUUGGGAACCAGCCCUCGACCUGCAGAUCCCUGGAGGCUGCCAGCCAUCAGGCAACUCGCUGACAUCAGAAGUCCUGUGCCAGGAAAUGGGGAUGAGAAGUGAAUAUUUAUUUCACCGCAUCAGAGACACAUGUUUCAACUAUUGUAGCCCUCGGACACACCUGGAAUAAUGUUUAACCAGAUAUCUGGGUAUCUUGUGGCCUGGUCAAGGUGACACAAAAUUAACCACCUUAUACCUCUUCUAUAGGGCUGACAUUAUUCUCCUUACACAAAAGCUAACUUAAAGUCGGCAAUACUUCUUUAUCUUGACACCUGUUUGUGAAACACCCCCAUGUGCCAGGCAUGGCACUACGUGCCGGGGAUACAGUGGGGAACGAGGGACGGAACCUGCCUGCUGUCAGCAGGGCUACACGGUAACAGAGAGAGCCAAUGGGGGAGUAUGAGAAUUCGUAAUGAAAUGACAGAAUGUCAGCAGCGCCAAGGAGGAGAUAAACAGGGGGGAAGGGAGGUAGGCGAUGAGUCAUUCGCAGCUGCUGGCAAGGUGAGACCUUGCCGAGGCAGAAAGGAGGCAGGUGAGAGAGCAAAAGUUGAACUGGGAGCAAAGCUGAUGGGCUUGAGGUGUUCCGUACAGAUGACAAAGCAGCUGUAGCUUUGCUGGUUUCGUGAAGAUGCAGGAUCAUACCCGACUGAUCCUUCUCCUCGGGCAGCCUGUGGGCGGAGGCGCACAGGACCUGGGAGGGCCCAUGCUGCCAGGCAGCGGGGGCACCGCACACCGCGCAGGCCAGGACAAGCCCUGCCGAGUCUUGCGAGGCAGGAGCUGCUAGUGGCAGAACGGGCGCAGGAACUCAGGCUUCUGCAGCUCUGCGCAGCCACGGGACUCCUGCCAAGGACCACAAGAUGCCGGAUAUCCUCUAGGAAGGGGAAGACUCCUAGGCAGCUGCUUCAAAAUCUGCCUCUAGAUUUGUCAUCCCUUGAAGUAAACGUCACGUGUGCGCAAAGGCCUUCUCGCCCACCAUGCAUUUUGACCUGGCUGAGUCUGUAAGAGCAGCCCAGAGUUCCUUGAGUCCCUCAGGGCUGUGCUGCAGGCCCAGGUGAACUGCAGCCCUGCCUGCUGGCCUCUCAGGCGCCCUGUCCAGCUGCAGUGACAUGUGGCACGGCCAGCAUGGUGUUCACUUUAUUAGUUCAAUAGUUUUAUAGGGAAAAAAAGCAUGGCUGAGAACUCCCCAGGCCACGCUCCUGGAAAGCAGCAGUGGUUCCGCAGCACGCCCAGAAGCAGGCGCCGCCACGCGGCCUGCAGCAGUGUAGGGAGAUGGCAGCCGGCGCCCAGGAGGAAGUGAACAGCAUCUUGGGCGGGCCGAUGCAGCCGGGCCGUGCAUGGCGUGGAUCACUGCGUUCACAGGGCGAGAGAGAAAAGAACCCCACGUGACACUUCUCAGUCUGUUAAGGCCUUUUUAUUUUCACACGCAUUUGGAAGAAUCCGUUGCAUUAAACGAAGCUUUGGAAACGGCACAGAGGCAGGCCCGAGGGUUAAGCCAUGCUCUUAACUUAGGAACUGACUUCUCUAGCCCAUUCUCCGUAACAGAUUCCAUGAGUGUUUAAGAGAGACACGACAAACUUCCGGAAAGAAAACAAAAUGGUCUUUUUGCUAU